Molecule: ribosomal RNA, 465 nt
Filed under: uncultured bacterium
Lineage: Bacteria
Description: partial 16S ribosomal RNA
Rfam family: Bacterial small subunit ribosomal RNA
Source: RNAcentral
CCUACGGGUGGCAGCAGUGGGGAAUUUUGGACAAUGGGCGCAAGCCUGAUCCAGCUAUUCCGCGUGUGGGAUGACGGCCUUCGGGUUGUAAACCACUUUUUUAGAGAACGAAAAGUCUGUUGAUAAUACCCAUAGAUGAUGACGGUACUCUAAGAAUAAGCACCGGCUAACUACGUGCCAGCAGCCGCGGUAAUACGUAGGGGGCAAGCGUUAUCCGGAUUUUCUGGGUGUAAAGGGGGCGCAGACGGCGGUGGAAGCCAGGAGUGAAAGCCCCGGGCCCAACCCCGGGACUGCGGUUGGAACUGAGUGGCUUGAGUGCAGGAGGGGCAAGCGGAAUGCGUGGUGUAGCGGUGAAAUGCGUAGAUAUCAGGAGGAACACCGGUGGCGAAGGCGGCCUGCUGGAGUGCAACUGACGUUGAGGCCCGAAAGCGUGGGGAGCAAACAGGAUUAGAUACCCUUGUAGUC